UACGAAGGGUGCAAACGUUGCUCGGAAUUAUUGGGCGUAAAGCGCACGUAGGCGGCUUUCUAAGUCGGGGGUGAAAUCCUGGAGCUCAACUCCAGAACUGCCUUCGAUACUGGAGAGCUCGAGUCCGGGAGAGGUGAGUGGAACUGCGAGUGUAGAGGUGAAAUUCGUAGAUAUUCGCAAGAACACCAGUGGCGAAGGCGGCUCACUGGCCCGGUACUGACGCUGAGGUGCGAAAGCGUGGGGAGCAAACAGG
Molecule: ribosomal RNA, 253 nt
Filed under: uncultured bacterium
Lineage: Bacteria
Description: partial 16S ribosomal RNA
Rfam family: Bacterial small subunit ribosomal RNA
Source: RNAcentral